This is a long non-coding RNA of Papaver somniferum (opium poppy), 337 nucleotides long. RefSeq lists it as uncharacterized. The record is from RefSeq and is a predicted model, not a curated record. The transcript has 3 exons. NCBI's taxonomy places the organism in Eukaryota, Viridiplantae, Streptophyta, Magnoliopsida, Ranunculales, Papaveraceae.
AUUAGGUGGUCGGCGGAAUUGCUGAGUGUCAAAUUUACUUUGUUGAGUCUGUAAUUCUGUAGCCACUCCUGAGGUAUUUCAAUUCGUUGCAGAGUGAGCGCUUUUCUGGUUGUUACUUCUCUGACAUGAACAUGGUCAUUUUGGCGCCAACUGGAAGCGGCAAAACAGUGUUAUUUGAGCUAUGUAUCUUAAAGCUCCUUUCCUGGUUCCUUUCUCAGGAUGGAAGGUUCCUUCAUAUGAAGGGUACACUGAAAACAGUCUCGACGUUUUUUGUGCGCACUGACAAGACACUAGCCUUUUUUUAGAUCAAUUGAUGGUCGAUUAGGUUGAAUUUGUU